RNAcentral lists this ribosomal RNA (253 nucleotides) under uncultured bacterium. RNAcentral's name for it is "partial 16S ribosomal RNA". It matches the Rfam family "Bacterial small subunit ribosomal RNA", at positions 524 to 776 of the family's 1533-position model. The record is from RNAcentral.
UACGAAGGGGCGAGCGUUGUUCGGAUUUACUGGGCGUAAAGGGCGCGUAGGCGGCCCUGUUUGUCAGGCGUGAAAGCCCUGGCUCGAACCCCGGAACGGCCUUUGAUACUGGGUGUCUUGAGUUCGGAAGAGGUGAGUGGAAUUGCGAGUGUAGAGGUGAAAAUUCGUAGAUAUUCGCAGGAACACCAGUGGCGAAGGCGGCUCACUGGUCCGAUACUGACGCUGAGGUGCGAAAGCGUGGGGAGCAAACAGG